RNAcentral lists this ribosomal RNA (305 nucleotides) under uncultured bacterium. Its description in RNAcentral is "bacterial SSU rRNA". It matches the Rfam family "Bacterial small subunit ribosomal RNA", at positions 335 to 638 of the family's 1533-position model. The record is from RNAcentral.
UCUCCUCCGGGGCGCAGCAGUGAGGAAUAUUGGUCAAUGGGAGAGAUCCUGAACCCGCCAAGCCUCUUGAUGGAAGACGGCCCUAUGGGUUGUAAACCUCUUUUGUCGGAGAACAGAACCCGGGACGUGUCCCGGACUGCGUGUAUCCGAAGAAAAAGCAUCGGCUAACUCCGUGCCAGCAGCCGCGGUAAUACGGAGGAUGCGAGCGUUAUCCGGAUUUAUUGGGUUUAAAGGGUGCGUAGGCGGUCCGUUAAGUCAGCGGUAAAAUUGCGGGGCUCAACCCCGUCGAGCCGUUGAAACUGGCA